GAUUUAAUCUGGUGUAGUGGUUUGAGUGUUGGAUUAUGACUCUGGAGACCAGGGUUCGAAUCCCUGCUUGGCCA
This 74-nucleotide transfer RNA is filed under the name Phrynosoma platyrhinos (Desert horned lizard). RNAcentral's name for it is "tRNA-OTHER". Lineage: Eukaryota; Metazoa; Chordata; Lepidosauria; Squamata; Phrynosomatidae. The record is from RNAcentral.